UACGGGAGGCAGCAGUGGGGAAUAUUGCACAAUGGGCGCAAGCCUGAUGCAGCCAUGCCGCGUGUAUGAAGAAGGCCUUCGGGUUGUAAAGUACUUUCAGUCGUGAGGAAGGUGUUAAGGUUAAUAACCUUAGCAAUUGACGUUAGCGACAGAAGAAGCACCGGCUAACUCCGUGCCAGCAGCCGCGGUAAUACGGAGGGUGCGAGCGUUAAUCGGAAUUACUGGGCGUAAAGGGCACGCAGGCGGUUAAUUAAGUUGGAUGUGAAAUCCCCGGGCUUAACCUGGGAAUGGCAUUCAAGACUGGUUAGCUAGAGUCUUGUAGAGGGGGUAGAAUUCCAUGUGUAGCGGUGAAAUGCGUAGAGAUGUGGAGGAAUGCCGGUGGCGAAAGGCGGCCCCUGGACAAAGGACUGACGCUCAUGUGCGAAAGCGUGGGGAGCAAACAGGAUUAGAUACC
This 454-nucleotide ribosomal RNA is filed under the name uncultured bacterium. RNAcentral describes it as "bacterial SSU rRNA". It matches the Rfam family "Bacterial small subunit ribosomal RNA", at positions 340 to 786 of the family's 1533-position model. The record is from RNAcentral.